Long non-coding RNA from Cydia strobilella, 496 nucleotides. RefSeq lists it as uncharacterized. NCBI's taxonomy places the organism in Eukaryota, Metazoa, Arthropoda, Insecta, Lepidoptera, Tortricidae. The transcript has 3 exons. The record is from RefSeq and is a predicted model, not a curated record.
CUACGUGCGGGGUCCGGGGCGCGGGCGGGAGCGCAGCCUCCCUUCCCGACAACGAUUACUGAUUAGUGUGGCGGCAAGCGCGGCGGGGCCGCCCGCUUCGACGAACGAUGACGUAACACGCCCCGCCGAACGCAAAUAUAACCUAAAAUCAUUGAUAAAUACCAAUCCCCCGCCUAGAACUCUCGUUCUUUAAAGUGGUCGCUGCCCAGGCGGCGUGCGUACGGCGAACAGCUGACGGUCGCGCGUAGAACCCAUGUGCUACUACGAUUGUGAUAUGUAUAAGCGGCGUAUUUUGUGAUUGAAUCGGAUGGCGGUGUCAGCACGUCAUAGGGCACUGAAGAUGAAGAUCUGCACGUACUUGCUGCUCAGCUUCUUGGCAGUGCGGGCGUCGCCGGAGCCGCGGCGGGUGCCGCCGCUGCAGGAGCCACCGCGUCACGUGGAGUUCACCAACAACACGGGCGCCACGCUCACGUGCUCCACUAGGGGAGAUUAUCAG